GCGGGAGCGCCGACGCUGGAGAGUCGGGACCGGCUGUAAACCGGUUGCAUCGCUGAGCGGGUUCGAAUCCCGCCUCCCGCA
Molecule: transfer RNA, 81 nt
Filed under: Actinoplanes xinjiangensis
Lineage: Bacteria; Bacillati; Actinomycetota; Actinomycetes; Micromonosporales; Micromonosporaceae
Description: tRNA-Tyr
Rfam family: tRNA (bases 15-81)
About the family: Transfer RNA (tRNA) molecules are approximately 80 nucleotides in length.
Source: RNAcentral